This 392-nucleotide ribosomal RNA is filed under the name uncultured eukaryote. RNAcentral describes it as "SSU rRNA". It matches the Rfam family "Eukaryotic small subunit ribosomal RNA", at positions 587 to 972 of the family's 1831-position model. The record is from RNAcentral.
AGCUCCAAUAGCGUAUAUUAAUGUUGUUGCAGUUAAAAAGCUCGUAGUUGGAUUUCUGGUCGGAACGCCUGGCCGGCUCCGCAAGGGGUCGUUGCUGUGGUUUCUCCGUCCAUCCUCAGGGGGAGCCGCGCUGGUAUUCAUUUAUCGGCGUGGUCACGCCUGUCGUUUACUGUGAACAAAUUAGAGUGUUCAAAGCAAGGUGUACUUGAAUACAUUAGCAUGGAAUAAUAAGAUAGGACUUUGGUGGUUCUUUUUGAUAUUUUGUUGGUUUGCACGCCAAAGUAAUGAUUAAUAGGAGCAGUUGGGGGUAUUCGUAUUCAAUUGUCAGAGGUGAAAUUCUUGGAUUUAUAGAAGACGAACUACUGCGAAAGCAUUUACCAAGGAUGUUUUCA